Molecule: ribosomal RNA, 492 nt
Filed under: uncultured bacterium
Lineage: Bacteria
Description: partial 16S ribosomal RNA
Rfam family: Bacterial small subunit ribosomal RNA
Source: RNAcentral
AGUGAACGCUGGCGGUAGGCCUAACACAUGCAAGUCGAACGGCAGCACAGUAAGAGCUUGCUCUUACGGGUGGCGGGUGGCGGACGGGUGAGGAAUACAUCGGAAUCUACUUUUUCGUGGGGGAUAACGUAGGGAAACUUACGCUAAUACCGCAUACGACCUACGGGUGAAAGCAGGGGAUCUUCGGACCUUGCGCGAUUGAAUGAGCCGAUGUCGGAUUAGCUAGUUGGCGGGGUAAAGGCCCACCAAGGCGACGAUCCGUAGCUGGUCUGAGAGGAUGAUCAGCCACACUGGAACUGAGACACGGUCCAGACUCCUACGGGAGGCAGCAGUGGGGAAUAUUGGACAAUGGGCGCAAGCCUGAUCCAGCCAUACCGCGUGGGUGAAGAAGGCCUUCGGGUUGUAAACCCCUUUUGUUGGGAAAGAAAAGCAGCAGGUUAAUACCCCGCUGUUCUGACGGUACCCAAAGAAUAAGCACCGGCUAACUUCGUG